Molecule: ribosomal RNA, 514 nt
Filed under: uncultured bacterium
Lineage: Bacteria
Description: partial 16S ribosomal RNA
Rfam family: Bacterial small subunit ribosomal RNA
Source: RNAcentral
GAUGAACGCAGGCGGCGUGCCUAAUACAUGCAAGUCGAGCGAACAGAUGAGAAGCUUGCUUCACUGAUGUUAGCGGCGGACGGGUGAGUAACACGUGGGUAACCUACCUAUAAGACUGGGAUAACUCCGGGAAACCGGGGCUAAUACCGGAUAAUAUUUUGAACCGCAUGGUUCAAUAGUGAAAGACGGUUUCGGCUGGCAGUUAUAGAUGGAACCGCGCCGUAUUAGCUAGUUGGUAAGGUAAUGGCUUACCAAGGGGACGAUACGUAGCCGACCUGAGAGGGUGAUCGGCCACACUGGAACUGAGACACGGUCCAGACUCCUACGGGAGGCAGCAGUAGGGAAUCUUCCGCAAUGGGCGAAAGCCUGACGGAGCAACGCCGCGUGAGUGAUGAAGGUCUUCGGAUCGUAAAACUCUGUUGUUAGGGAAGAACAAAUUUGUUAGUAACUGAACAAGUCUUGACGGUACCUAACCAGAAAGCCACGGCUAACUACGUGCCAGCAGCCGCAGUAA